RNAcentral lists this ribosomal RNA (253 nucleotides) under uncultured bacterium. RNAcentral describes it as "partial 16S ribosomal RNA". It matches the Rfam family "Bacterial small subunit ribosomal RNA", at positions 524 to 776 of the family's 1533-position model. The record is from RNAcentral.
UACAGGGGGGGCAAGCGUUGUUCGGAAUUACUGGGCGUAAAGGGUUCGUAGGUGGCCAACUAAGUCAGACGUGAAAUCCCUCAGCUUAGCUGGGGAACUGCGUCUGAUACUGGAUGGCUUGAGUGCAGGAGAGGAACGCGGAAUUCCAGGUGUAGCGGUGAAAUGCGUAGAUAUCUGGAGGAACACCGGUGGCGAAGGCGGCGUUCUGGACUGCAACUGACACUGAGGAACGAAAGCCAGGGGAGCAAACGGG